This 205-nucleotide long non-coding RNA is filed under the name Mytilus galloprovincialis (Mediterranean mussel). Lineage: Eukaryota; Metazoa; Mollusca; Bivalvia; Mytilida; Mytilidae. The record is from RNAcentral.
GGCGCUAUGUGAAUUUUUUCUCUUUCAAACAUUAAUAUUCUUAAUUCACUUUCCUUGUGAGCUAGAUAGCUAUUUAUAACAAACAACAUGACGAUAUGAAUAAAACUUGGACACUCUUAGUAAAAAUAACAGGAAACAAUAACAAGCCAGUAUCGUUUAACUUCUAUAAACACUUUUCUGACUUAAGGAUGUUCGCUACUCUUUU